Molecule: long non-coding RNA, 515 nt
Organism: Nerophis ophidion (straightnose pipefish)
Lineage: Eukaryota; Metazoa; Chordata; Actinopteri; Syngnathiformes; Syngnathidae
Exons: 2
Source: RefSeq, a predicted model, not a curated record
UGGAACACAGAGACAACGCCCCAGCCUUGGUCGCAUCAUUGAGGGACAGUACAUUCCCCUGUACCUGCUCAAUCAGGCUGAAGUAGCACCAGCUGUGCGGCCAGGUUGGACCUGGCCGCACAGCUUUCUUAAUUCUGCCUCAUUCAGGUCUAGCUCUCCUCUGUGUCAAGGCAUGUGCAUCAGGCGGCAAACCUAUGACUUAUAAAGAAGUGUCCUAUUUAAAGGACUGAGAGCCCCGGAUGGGAGAUAUUUAUGUUUGUUAAUGGACACUUUAAGUUUGAUACUUCCACACCCUGCCCUUCCUACAAAGACGUGUGCAAUAUAUGCCCUUUUUGGCUUUCUGCAAACCCAAUCAUGUGUCUUAGUGAGAAUCAGGUUCCACCUUACGUAUUUUGCUCAUUUUAAGCAUACGCUGUGCAUUGGUUUCAAAAACACAUCACGAAGCUCGCUUUUUUUCAACUACAUCACUGAAUACUGCAGACUUCAUGAGAGCCAAUAAACAUGAUAAAACAUAA